CACGUCUGCCAAACGUCUCUUAACUGCCUCUCUCCACUUGCUCUCUCACGCUCUCUUUCUCUCUCUAGGAUUCUCUCUCGAUCCCUAAUGCCGCCGUCGCACCACCGUUACCAGAACCACCGCCUCCUUCACAACCACAUCAACGACGCCCCUCUUCCGCAGCAGCGCCGUAGUCCGCAUCUGCCGCUCUCUGAAAAUUACUCGGCUGGGACUCACUGCUGAGCUUGGCCUCUCUCUGAAAUUCAUCCUUAUCCCUACAUUCCCUCUCUAAUCUCUCUCUCAUGGCGUCGACUCUCCGCCAACAUUCCCUUCUCCAUCCCCUCGCUCCGAUCCAAACCCCCACAAAUUCGCCUUCCAAAACCCUAAAAUCUCCUCCCGAUUGAGACGAUCAUCCUACUCUCUCUCAUCAAGCCCUCACUCUCUCUCUAGGGUUUCCGAUUCUGCACUCUGUCGGUGCCACAGGAACAACGAUGACUCGGCCUCAGCUUCUCCAUCGGAUAACUCAUCCUCCGUUAACCGUCGGUGGGAUUCGGUGAUUCAGGAGGUGUUGAGGAACGCGGUUAAGAACCGUAACCAGUCGAAAGGUGUAUUGAAGAGUGUUGAUGUUUUCGAGAGAGGAAGUGAAGUGGUUGAUGAUGAAGACUGGGAUUGGGACCGGUGGCGGAAGCAUUUCAGCGAGGUCGAUGAGCAAGAGCGUAUUGUAUCGAUUUUGAAGGUCAUCCAACGGUUGCAGCAAACAUGAAGGAUGAUCUUUUGUGUCCACCGCUCGAUGGUGCUGUUGUUUCAGUGCUGAACAGACAAUCUUCUGCAGGCUCUUCGCUACGCUGCUCAAUUCGGCUCCCUUCGCUACCGACGGUGCUCUCGCAAGAGCGGAGUUCACCAUGCCCUUAACCCAGAUCCAUACAGUGGAGUCUUUGGUUCAGACAGGGAGAAGUAUGCAAGAGAUGUCGAAGAUCUCAUUACCUUUGGAACUUCAGGGCAUGUAGCUGGUUUUAUUUCUGAAGCCAUACAGGAGUGGGUGGAAUUAUUGAAUUGGCCCCAGGUUACUUCCCUGCCGUAUACAUCAAUAUUGAGAAAGCAGGAGGGCUUUGUAUUGCCGAUGAGGUUCAAUCUGGGUUUGCUCACACUGGGAGCCAUUGUUGGGGAUUUGAGACCCAAGGCAUUGUGCCUGACAUAGUGGCAAUGGCAAAGGCGAACAAGCUUCAUGAAGUGUGUUGAAGAUUUCAUAGCUAGGGUUUAUUUGCAACUUAACAAGAUUUUUCAAUGCUCAGUGGCUUCGAUUUCUCAAUCUCAAACCUCUAGUGGUCUUCUUUUACUGCGAGUAGUAACACAAGUGAUGAAGACUAAAGAAUUCCUCAACUGAGCAGUGAGUCAACAACCAGAGCGUGAUUCUUGGGACGCUAACAUGGGCAUGGAGAUAGAAGGUGAUGGGGGUGCCUGCAUAUCUUCAACCUGAACUGGAAGCGGAUCUCGUCUUGCGUCCGGCACCAGCUAGCAGAGUCGACAACCAU
This is a non-coding RNA of Camellia sinensis, 1511 nucleotides long. Lineage: Eukaryota; Viridiplantae; Streptophyta; Magnoliopsida; Ericales; Theaceae. The record is from RefSeq and is a predicted model, not a curated record.